Lynx canadensis (Canada lynx) is the source of this 1447-nucleotide long non-coding RNA. RefSeq lists it as uncharacterized. The transcript is spliced from 6 exons. NCBI's taxonomy places the organism in Eukaryota, Metazoa, Chordata, Mammalia, Carnivora, Felidae. The record is from RefSeq and is a predicted model, not a curated record.
UGCAAGGAGAGAGAGACAGGGUGGAAUGUUCUUCGUCUCCUUGUUGUUUGUUACAGAACCAGAAGCAACCUCAAUGUCCAUCAGCACAGUUACAGGAAGCAACGCAGCCUCAUGAUUAAGCCUGUGAACUCUGCCUUCGAACACACCCGUAUGGAAUCCCUGCUCUCACUGAACAGCUCUGGGGCUUCUGUGAACUCUGGAAGCAACCAAAAUAGGGGAAGAACCAAUCUGGAGAGGAUAGCCUUCUGUGUGGACCCAGGGGCUUUGGAGACAAAGCUGCUUUGCGCCCUCAUAACUGCCUGGCCCCAGAGAACCCAUGGAGGACCACCAGGCUUACAGUCACCCAUCGUCGCUCUGGGAAACACCAGCGACUGUCUCUGCCUUACUAGCCUCUUUCCAGACGAAGCUGACAAGAGUGGAAAAACCAACCAACCAACUCUAUCUCUGCCUGGCGGCCUGGGAAUCACCCAAGGCAGUUGACUUGCUCAGUUGGCCACUUUGUGUUCACUGAUGGCAUGAGGAAGGUCUAGCAUGCAGAGACGUAUUUCUACUCCCCGUGCGGACCCCCUUUUAAGAAGGCUUCAAAAGGGACAUGCAGAGGAUGCUUAAAACCCACCCUCAUCAUUCUUACCAUUCUGCAAAGCGCAUGCCCUGCGUCUGCGGCUUGGGCAUGCCUCCCCUCCCCUGGAUGAUGAAUUCACGAGGGACCUCAUGGGCUGCUGAGAACAAGCACGCUUUUGAAUGAACUCUUUUACGGGUAUCAGUCCAAAAGUCACCAUCAGCUGCAACUGAAAAGCAGAGUGGGUUUUGUUUUUGUUUUUGUUUUGUUUUUGUUUUUGUUUUUCCCCCAGUGGCGGCCAGUUCGGCUCAAAAGCUCAGUUCUUGGAAGGGCCACUUCUUCUUGCCACUGGAGAAGACACACCUCCCUGUGCACCUAAAAAUAAAAAGUAAAUAAAUAAAUGAGUUUGUAAAUUUUUAACGAGGUCCCUCCGGCCCCUCCUGCAGGCCAUAAUUCCCUUUCAGUUUCAGAGAGUGUGUUUCGUGUCUCCACGUGCACAGCUCUGCCUUCCAAGUGGCCCUUCUGGGCUCCGCAGUUUGAGGAACUUGGGUCCCUCAAGGCUCUUUGAGACCCCAGAGCCUUCUCCUGAGCUCAUCUGAGGAGUCUCUGCUCUUUUUCACAGGAGUUCAGCGGGAGGCGUGGAAAUUAGUAUUGUCUGUAAACGCACCAGGAAUGAGCUCUCAACUAAAAAACAAAACAAAAUACACCACACACACACACACACACACACAAGCAAACCCUCAAAACUCAAAAAUGGGGUUUUAACGCGCUUCUGAGGCUACUACUAGACUUCAAAUCUCCCAAACAAGUCAUUUUCCGAGUCUACUCUGGCUUCAGUUUUCUUGCCUUUUAAAUAACAAAAAAACCAAAGCAAUUUCAUUAAAAGAU